Lepisosteus oculatus (spotted gar) is the source of this 6042-nucleotide long non-coding RNA. NCBI's taxonomy places the organism in Eukaryota, Metazoa, Chordata, Actinopteri, Semionotiformes, Lepisosteidae. The record is from Ensembl.
AAAUUGCCCGUCUCAUGACAAUCUGUAGUGUUUCCGUUGUAGAGGUUACCUCAAAAUAUUUUGUCCCCAUUACAGUUGCGGUCAGGUAUCCGUGGAAACGGCCGAAGAUCCAAAGAUGGCAAAACCUGGGUGUGGGAGUCUGUCAGACCCAGCUGGCAGGUAUAUCCCGCAGCCAGCCUCCAGCGAACAGCAGGGCAGAGGUAUGGAGAUGUGGACUCCAACACAACAACGGACCUUGUCUGUUGCUGAUGAACUGGAAACUGGAAGCCUCUGUAAUGAGGAUAACCCUGAAGGGCCAUCUCAAGAAACAACAGAUACCACUGCCGUGGUAAGGCAACAGUUCCCUUUAUUUAAAUGUAUACAGAAUUUCUGCAUUCUUGCAGUACAAAACUUGUGCAAAAUAAUCCAUCUCAAAGGACUUUGCAUUUAAAGAAAGUACCAUUUUUGUUAUUAUGUUUGUUCAGAGUAUAUUUGUGGGCUCUAAAAUCUAGCUACCAUGUCUGGGUUAUUAAGAUCUACUUAUUGUUAACUUUGAAUCUGAAACAACAGUCCCUAGCUACAGUAUUAACACUUGACCAAUAUUUAACUCAUAUUUCCUUGUUGUAUAUUUAUUCAAAUGAGUGGUGAACCAGUGAAAGUACAUUCAUUAUUAAAAGCUGAGGAGAAAAGAUAGGUUUUAAGAGGUUUACAAAUGUUGACAGUCACAGAGUUUCUAAUGGGUUUGGGCAUCUAGUUUCAGAGAUAUGCUGCUGAUCUUAGAGCUUGAUCUUCAACAGAGAAAAAAGGUCUGAAUCAAAGAUAAAACUUUCAGUGCACAGUCUGUUAUUCUUUAAAUGGUAAUUAAAUGUUGUGUGGACAUUCUUCGUGUUUUCUGUUGUAUCAUAAAAAAAGUUUUUUAUUGUCACAUUUUUUUGUUUGCACUUAGCUUUUUUGUUUUUGUUUUACAGAAACACAGUGUGGAGAGCCCUGCACAUUCAUGUGCUGAAGGUUAUGCCAGGCUGACCCUGGAGCCUGUGGUAGAAUCAUCUGAAUCAGUAGGUGCUGGGACAGAGGGAACAAGUGAUGAAGGAACACAAAAGAAGAGGAAACUGCCAGUAAGGACAAGAAGAGGGAAGCUACAAGUAAAACCCAACACUUCAAAAAGGAAACCUGUGGAGCGCACAGAGGGCCGAGGAAAAUCUGAGACCUUGCCAGCGCAGGAGGAUCCCCCAUCCCGAGUCCGGACAACGCAGUGUGAAGACCCCAGGCCCGAGGGGGCUCUGGGCCUCACAGGGGAGUCACAGUCGUCCGCUGCAGACGUGCCCCCACAGCGUCACAGGGGCAGAGAAGGACCCUCAAACCAGGACAGCUUAAUGUCUGCUGAAAGAGAUACAACAGAGAGCAGCAGUGGAGAAGAGAAUCCAUCCUCCAACUUACACAUAAAGCCGUCACCCUCUGGUGCUCCAUUGAUAAGGCCUGGGAGAAAACCUAGAGGAUUUUUGUCUUUUAUUUCGGAGAAAAGUACCCCUACGUCUCCUAGUGUCCCCAAGACUUGCAGAUCUGCAACACACAAACCUCAGAUUAAUACCUCUGGGAUGGAGAGAAGGAAAAGGACUGCUGUUGUAGCUGCUAUGAAGAGCUCGUCAAAUUCCUCCAGUGAUAGCCCAGCCGGUAGAAGAUCACAGGCUUGGGCAUUUCAAAGCAAGCUUUCACCACAGUCAACCUGUACGCCAGGCUUCAAAACCAGGACUUUAGAAUCUCCGCCACAACCUCCAAAUGAGGUCCUCUGUGUUGACAGUUCGAACACUGAUGAAGAACCAACUAAGGUCUCCGAGUAUUUCUUCAGUGACAUCUUUACAGAGGUAGAUGAGCCAGAUUGAAACUGGCAAAGUCAUCGUUAUUUAUUUGUUCAAACAGACCUCCUUCAUCAAGACUGCAGAAGGACUUUGCAUCAGUGCUGGAUCCAAACCACAGUUUAUCUUGCAAGUUAAUGCAGCUGUUCUUUUGUCACAGUGUAAGAUGAAAUGCGAUUUCAAACCUUGCUUCAAAAUUGACCUGAACAGGUCAUUCUACUUGGAAGAGAAAUUUUCACGUCCAUAUCUGCAACUGUGGAAAUUUAUACCCGUCAUAUUCCAUUGAUUCCCAUAAAUCCAGUUAGUGAAGGUUUUAACAAUAAUGUGCUGUAUUCUGUUCUGGUAUGAUUAUUCAGAGUACAGGGAAAUAACAUAGGUAAUCCUUCAUCUCCAACUGGCCUUUGAGUGUUCACUUUUUUUCUCUUCUACAUUAUUUCAAUCAGGCAAUUAUAGAACUUGAAUAAAUUCUAACAAAUCUUCAUAUCUGUUGAAUGCUUCUAAAGAACAGAUUAAAGUGCAAUUCUAAUAUUUUGGUUUGUUGGUAUUCAAAGGUUUAUGUAAAUGUUAGAAAUGUUAAAUAUUUAGAUUGAUCUGAAAGGGCUGGAAUAUUUAUCAGUGUAGCAAAUAAAGCCUUUUAGAGUUUGAAGUCAUCUGACAGGCUAGCUUUUAUAUUUAUAUUUUCCAGACAAUUAUGUUUUAUUGAAAAUGCAUUCUUUAUAACUUGAAUUGCGGUCUCAUCCCUAACUCUUCCUGUAAAUCCUGUAACUCUUGCAAAGGAAAAAAGGUUUUAGGGUUUGACUACACUUUAUUUCAUUUUAGUGUUUUAAUAAUUUGAAGUAAAACAUUAUCAUGAGAAAAAUAGAGAAUAAAUUCAAUUUUAAGGGUUCUCUGAAAUUCCUGUAUCUUUUUUUCCCAAUUGUUUUUUGAAGACAGUAGGAUCCAUUAUCCCCAAAUUUAUUUCAAAGAAGACACAAAUGCAGGAAUUCAUGAGCGGCUCAGAGAGCAGGUUGAGCCUAUAAAUCACUGAUUUAAAUCUGGACUUCGUCAAUAUUGCCAAGGAUUACCUAAGCAGUAGCCUGAACAGAACUUAAUGGUCUGACAUUGCAUGUUUCAUAGAAUUUUUUUCCUCUUCACUUGUCAUCCUGCCAUGAGAGUUGUAGUUUUAACUGAACUAUUGUCUAAAGUCAUUUAAAAUAAUGAAGUCAAAAACUGUUAGAAAGUCUUAUUAACACUAAGUAGAGUUCAAUGAAUAUUUGUUAAACCUACACUUUAUGAGUUAUAUCUUCCUAAACACUGAUUCAUCCAAAUAAGUAGUGUGGAUUCAUGUGGAGUUGAAGACUUAUAUAUUGAAACCCCAGAUUGAAUUCUAAUUAUACUACAAAUAGGAGGAUUCCAUCCUCCUAUUUUAUGAAAAGUUGAGCAACAAAACUAAUUGGCAAUUAAAGAAAAGUAUACAUAAGUACAAUAUAUAAUUUUAAAAUGUUAUGCUGUGGUAUGAAGUCCAUUACUUCUGACUUCUUAUCAGUUUUUCUAGAAUACAGUUGCGAGAUAAAAACCUAAUACUAUUCCACCAAACGUUUAACAUCUAGCUGGUCAGAUUUAUACAUGUGUAGAGAAAUCAAUCUGAUGAACUGGAAUCACUUGAAGAAAGACUAAUUUAGGGUGACCUAUUCUUGUUUAUUAAGUGCUGCAAAAGCACUGAUUUGACAGGCUUUCAUUUUGUACAUUUACAGUGUACACUUAGUUACAGUGAUGAAAACUAGAAGUGAUUCAUAUUACUACCAAAGUUUUGGUGUUUUUGAACUGUACUUAGGUGUUGUGCUUAGGCAAAUAUUGGAUAUGCAUGUCAAAUCCAUUAUGCCUACUUAAAGAAUUGGACUGUCUUGGGAUUCCUGCAGAGAUUAAGAAAUUGUCUUAAGAAAAUGUUACUCUCAAUAAUGACCCUUCUGUUUUUUUUCCUCAUCAAAAACCUUGUAUCCUGUGCUGUGAAGUGUAAAUUGAUCAUGCCUUUAGCCUAGUUUUUCCUGAUGUGCUUCUGAUAACUGAUAGAUAAGAAACAGGUUUGUUCAGUAACUUGAAAGCAUUCAAACUGAUAAAUAUUUAACAGGUAAUUAAUAUUUCAGAGCAGAGCAAUCUUUAUAAAUCUGUUUCCAAGCAAUUGAAAGGCUUCCUACAAUAAAAUGCAUUCCAGUCCUGAAUAUGUUUGAAUGAAAGUCAACUCGUAGCAUUGUUAAUUUCAUGUUAGAGAUUGUUCGUUUCUAAUGAGUAGAGAUAUUCAUUAGAUUAUCUUAUCUUUUUAUUUAUCUCUAACCAUUGUUUUAAGGGUGCCUCUUAAUUUUGUAAUUCAGGUGUGUGUAGUUAGUCUACUGUAUUUAGAGUAACCACACAUACUGUAUUUUUCGUUUGUCCACUCAGCACAUUUGUAGUGUUACUAUAAUGGUACUUCUUGGUUUGCAUUAAAUAAGCUGUUUUUUAAAUGCUCAUAUCUGGCAUAAAGUACUUUAUGAAAGAAGUAGAAAACGUUAUAGAUAUCUAAAGAAUGUAAUGCCAUAUUCAGAAGAUUGGUGGAUUGCUUUUAAGUUACACUGAUGCAGGAUUGCUGUUUCCUGAACCUUAUUUUUAAUUAUUAUGCUUUUUUCCUCAUGAAGGACAAAUGUUCAUUGUGCAUUAUGAACACAUUCAUAUUAUAGGAUAGGUAAGUGCUUGGAUUUUGAUAUCCUUGCUUUUGAAAUGUCUGCAUCUUGGGAAUCAAAACUUUAAAUCUGUACCUAAACUCUUACUAAACUGUUGGAUUUUGCUGGUAAUAUGUAAAAGAGAAACAUCAAUUAUGUAAAGGACUUAAAUAUAGUUACAGUUCUUUGAAGAUCUUUGCACUUACUGGGUGGAAGAAAAAAAGAUUAAUUUUUGCUCCACAUUUUUUUAAGUCAUUCAUAGUAAGAUAACAGGUGGAAAUUUCUCUCUCUUUUCCCCUUGAACUGUUGUAGAUGCUGUUGUUAUAUACAGAAUGCUCUGGGAUGAAAAUUGAAAUAUAAAUGCAAGGAAUUGUUACAAUUCUUUCCUUUUUGGAUCCAUAUUAUUAGGGCAAAGAAAGUACUCUUACCUCUGUGAAAGAACCAAUUUUUCAGAAUCAGUCUUUACUGGUAUAUUGUCCUGAGUGUCACACAAAGUUAAUCAUGUACAGCCAGCAGCCAUAUCACCAUGCAACCCACUGAAGCUCAGCAGGUGUGAGCCUGGCCAGUACCUGGAUGUUAGACCUCCGGGGAAAAACUAAGGUUGCUGCUGGAAGAGGUGUUAGUGGGGCCAGCAGGGGGUGCUCACCCUGCAGUCCACGUGGGUCCGAAUGCCCCAGUAUAGUGAUGGGGACACUAUACUUUAAACAGGCGCCGUCCUUCGGAUGAGACGUAAAACCGAGGUCCUGACUCUCUGCGGUCAUUAAAAAUCCCAGGGCGUUUCUCGAAAAGAGUAGGGGUGUAACCCCGGCGUCCUGGCCAAAUUUCACAUUGGCCCUUACCAAUCAUGGCCUCCUAAUAAUCCCCAUCUAUGAAUUGGCUUCAUUACUCUGCUCUCCUCCCCCUUGAUCCUGAUGUGUGGUGAGCAUUCUGGCCACUAUGGCUGCCGUUGCAUCUUGUGUUAAAACCUCUAUUACUGGAAUAAUGCAGAUACAAAAAACAAAGCACUUUUAUGCAGUCAACAUAUCGGUUGUUUUUCAUUGUAUAACCCAGUUUAUUGAAAGAGGUGCAUGUCCAGAAACAAUAAAAGUUUACAUUUAAAAAUGUAGACACUUUAAUUAAGCUAAUAAACUGCUUUUGAAUCUUUAACACUAAUUCACAGUGGAAAUGAUUCAUCUUUUGUCUCAGCAGUUUCAAUAACAAAUAGUUGUGGAUGAAGAAUUUUUAUCAGUUGGAAGUGGCCAUAAUUUGAUGAUGGAGAAACUGGUUCUUGGAAUUGUAAUAUUGAUGAAAGCAAAACUUCUUUGAGAAAAAAUAGAGAUUAUUGGGGGAAAAAAAGUUGUUUAUCCUGUAAAAUAUGUUAAUAAAGGUUUUAUACAAAUGUGACUUGUUUUCCUUUGUCGUUAAUAAUAUGGAAACGUUCUUAUGGAGUAUCCUUAUCAUGGUGCAGCUCCAUUUAGCUUGUUACCUGUUCAAUGACACAUUGACUUUACAUACAUCCGUACAUUUUUUUCCCAUACGCUUCUCACCAUAUGCUUCUU